AUGAGCGGACAUUUCUGUGACUUCUCUGCGGAGGAGUUUGCCUGUGCCUCUCUUUCAGCAUUGACAGCACAAGAUCUGGCAGAGAUAAUGAAGUGUGAUCGAUCAUCCAGCUCAAGUGGGUCCAAUGAAGUUUGGAAGCUUCUUCUCUCUGAAGCUUCUGGGGUGCUGGAUGAAGCUUUGGACCUUCUGGCCAACUCAAAAAUCAACUCCAAUAGCCCUUCGGCGUCCAUGAUUCUGGACAGCAUUCAAGAAAUCAGACUGAAUCUAUUAAGCCGCAACACUCUGAAUGAUCCGUCCACGCUCCAGCUGUGGUUCAACAGUCGACUUCGUCCGUUCUUGCCUGCUGUUUCCAGUUACUUCCUCUCAUGUCUGGCAGCUAAAGAUUUGCAGUGCAGCUCCUACCAAUAUAUUUUGAAGAUUCUAAGUCAAGUUCAGCCUCAGAUGAGUCUUUCUAAACAAGGACCCGUGUACACACACUUCAUCAAGAUUUACCUGAGAAGAAACAACACUGCAGGUGAGCAGUUGCAUAAAUCAAAAACACAAACUUUUGUAGACACACAAAUUAAGGGAAA
RNAcentral lists this long non-coding RNA (572 nucleotides) under Oryzias sinensis (Chinese medaka). Its description in RNAcentral is "lncRNA (ENSOSIG00000017778.1)". The record is from RNAcentral. Lineage: Eukaryota; Metazoa; Chordata; Actinopteri; Beloniformes; Adrianichthyidae.